UACAGAGGUGGCAAGCGUUGUUCGGAAUUAUUGGGCGUAAAGAGCUCGUAGGCGGUUCGUCGCGUCGGCUGUGAAAUCCCGAGGCUCAACCUCGGGUCUGCAGUCGAUACGGGCGGACUGGAGUUCGGCAGGGGAGACUGGAAUUCCUGGUGUAGCGGUGAAAUGCGCAGAUAUCAGGAGGAACACCGGUGGCGAAGGCGGGUCUCUGGGCCGAUACUGACGCUGAGGAGCGAAAGCGUGGGGAGCGAACAGG
This 253-nucleotide ribosomal RNA is filed under the name uncultured bacterium. Its description in RNAcentral is "partial 16S ribosomal RNA". It matches the Rfam family "Bacterial small subunit ribosomal RNA", at positions 524 to 776 of the family's 1533-position model. The record is from RNAcentral.